Oncorhynchus tshawytscha (Chinook salmon) is the source of this 1813-nucleotide long non-coding RNA. RefSeq lists it as uncharacterized. The record is from RefSeq and is a predicted model, not a curated record. The transcript has 2 exons. Lineage: Eukaryota; Metazoa; Chordata; Actinopteri; Salmoniformes; Salmonidae.
UAAGGUAUGCAUUCACCUCCCUACAUGUGAAGCUAGGUAAGGUAUGCAUUCACCUCCCUACAUGUGAAGCUAGGCUAGGUAAGGUAUGCAUUCACCUCCCUACAUGUGAAGCUAGGUAAGGUAUGCAUUCACCUCCCUACAUGUGAAGCUAGGCUAGGUACGGUAUGCAUUCACCUCCCUACAUGUGAAGCUAGGUAAGGUAUGCAUUCACCUCCCUACAUGUGAAGCUAGGUAAGGUAUGCAUUCACCUCCCUACAUGUGAAGCUAGGCUAGGUAAGGUAUGCAUUCACCUCCCUACAUGUGAAGCUAGGCUAGGUACGGUAUGCAUUCACCUCCCUACAUGUGACGCUAGGUAAGGUAUGCAUUCACCUCCCUACAUGUGAAGCUAGGCUAGGUAAGGUAUCCAUUCACCUCCCUACAUGUGAAGCUAGGCUAGGUAAGGUAUGCAUUCACCUCCCUACAUGUGAAGCUAGGCUAGGUAAGGUAUGCAUUCACCUCCCUACAUGUGAAGCUAGGCUAGGUAAGGUAUGCAUUCACCUCCCUACAUGUGAAGCUAGGCUAGGUAAGGUAUGCAUUCACCUCCCUACAUGUGAAGCUAGGCUAGGUAAGGUAUGCAUUCACCUCCCUACAUGUGAAGCUAGGCUAGGUAAGGUAUGCAUUCACCUCCCUACAUGUGAAGCUAGGCUAGGUAAGGUAUGCAUUUACCUCCCUACAUGUGAAGCUAGGCUAGGUAAGGUAUACAUUGAGAAUGUUUGUUGUCAGUCGAGAGAACCGGGGACGAUGUGUGUGGAAAACGGUGUAUUUUAUGCUAGUUGCCCCAGUAAAUAAUUGUACAGCACAAGAGUCGAAGGAGUCGAAGAAACUGGACAUAUUGUCGCUGCGGCAGAAAAGUUGCUGGGUUUGCAAGAGUUCAUAGCUGAAGACCUAAAAAUGCUACUGGCAGGUACUGAAGAUUUUCCACCCUCCCAGGUUCCUGAGCCUCAGUAGGGAUUGGCUUUGCUGUUUUUAACAGAAUAAAAUAGGAUGUUUUUGUUCAGUUUUUUGUUGUUGCCGUUGGUAGUCUGUAUGGAUUUCUCCCCAACCCCCAACUCCCACAAUGCUCCUGUUUUGUGAGAUCUUUUUGUUUUCAUCCCACACAGUAGGUGGUGGCGUGCCCCUCUGUUUGUUUGCGGACUGCCAUAAUACCAUAGAAGAAGAACAGCUAGCUACAAGACAACAGCGUUAAAAUCGAGCUGGUAAUUAUUUUCAUCCCGGGAGCUGCACUAAAACACUGACGCCAGAGAAGAAGGAGCCCUAGUCAGACACAGGUGGUGUGCAUACCAUCCACCGCUUCAGAGUACAUUAUUCGUUAACGUUCAGUCCCUGGACAAUAAAGAAGACAAGCUCAGGGCGAGGAUCUCCUUCCAGAGAGACAUCAGGGACUGUAACAUACUCUGUUUUACGGAAUAGUGUCUCUCUCUGGAUAUAUUGUCUCCCGUCCAUUCAGCCCGUCCAUCGCUCCGACAGGAAGAAAGAAUUCCCCAGGAAAAAUCUAAUCACAUUUAAUUGGUCACAUAUUCAGCAGAUGUUAUUGUGGGUGUAGCGAAAUGCUUGUAUUCCUAGCUCCAACAGUGUAAUAAUAUCUAACAGUAAUACACAUGAAUCUAAAAGUAAAAGAGCAAGAUGUAUAUGUGAUGUAUAGAUAUUAUGGACAGUAUGUGGAAAGAAUAUUUUGUAUAUCUGUAGAAUUCGUAGGAUAGAAUACAGCAUGUACAUAUGAAAUGAGUGUUCUCUUAUUAAAGUGAGGCGGAAGGGUUUGUUUCAUGAUUAACAA